CUCUGUGGCAAAGAAAGAUGCAGAUGUAAGUCUAUGCCAGUAUUAAUUUUGAGAAUUAAGAGAAUUUUUCAGUAAGAGAAAUUGUGAUGCCACCUAACAAGGAAACCAUAUAAAAGAAAAAGAAAAAAAAAAUGAACAAUUAAUCGCAAGAUGAACAUGCAGAUUAAUUUGGAUGAAGAAAAAGAGUUGUCCCAAAGGAAGAUUAAGGAAAUUAAAGAACUAUGCAUCCCCUUAAAAUUCCUUAUGAUACAAAAAACAAAAGGAAAGAGGUUGAAGAGUUGGGAAAUGUCUGAUAAAAGAACCUUCAAAUUUGUGGUAAUCAAUAAGCCAGUAGUCAUGUUAAGAAUUAAGAGAUUCUUGCAGUAAAAAAAAUUGUGAAUCCAACCAACGCAUUGAUAACAUGGAAUCAUGGAGAAAAAAAUUGAACGAACAAACACAGAACUUAAAUUGUCUCAAAAGCCAAAAUACACUAGGUAAAAAGAAAAAAGAAGGAAAAGGUCAUGUGGAAGAUUGAAGAGGGAAGAAAAUUUUGAAGAACUCUGUAACCCAUAAAAGUUCCAUGUGAUAUCAAUAAAAAGGGAAGAAGCAAGGUCACCUUG
RNAcentral lists this long non-coding RNA (599 nucleotides) under Musa acuminata (dwarf banana). Its description in RNAcentral is "long non-coding RNA (MACU_LNC003593)". Lineage: Eukaryota; Viridiplantae; Streptophyta; Magnoliopsida; Zingiberales; Musaceae. The record is from RNAcentral.